This 74-nucleotide transfer RNA is filed under the name candidate division WWE3 bacterium CG_4_10_14_0_2_um_filter_42_7. RNAcentral describes it as "tRNA-Trp". It matches the Rfam family "tRNA". Rfam says of the family: Transfer RNA (tRNA) molecules are approximately 80 nucleotides in length. Their secondary structure includes four short double-helical elements and three loops (D, anti-codon, and T loops). Lineage: Bacteria; candidate division WWE3. The record is from RNAcentral.
ACGGCCGUUGGUUAGUGGUAAACCGCUGGUCUCCAAAACCAGUAACGCAGGUUCGAUUCCUGCCGGCCGUGCCA